GUUUGUGAGGGUGAUCCGGCUGGGACAUCUGUGACCUUAUUGAUCACCACAGUUGAUUUUGCUGAUAUCACUGUCUUGCUGUGUUUCAUCUGUUCUUUCUUCACCAAUGCACGGUAGCGCCACUCCCACAAAGAAGCCGUGUGCUGGAAUAGAGGAGAAUGGCCUUCCCCAGCUCUUCCACCAAAGUUAAAGAGUGAGUACUCACCCACUAGAACACACCAAACAAGCCACCAAGAUCCGUUUCAGUAUAUAUAUUUUCUUCAUUAAUGUCCCCAAAUUGUGAGUUCCUAUAUAAGGACAAAAUGUAAUUGUUA
Mesocricetus auratus (golden hamster) is the source of this 314-nucleotide unclassified non-coding RNA. Its record names the gene 7SK. It matches the Rfam family "7SK RNA". Rfam says of the family: 7SK was discovered as an abundant small nuclear RNA in the mid-70s but a possible function has only recently been suggested. Two independent studies have found that 7SK RNA binds the CDK9/cyclin T complex (known as elongation factor P-TEFb). The record is from Ensembl. Lineage: Eukaryota; Metazoa; Chordata; Mammalia; Rodentia; Cricetidae.